This 124-nucleotide small nuclear RNA is filed under the name Erinaceus europaeus (western European hedgehog). RNAcentral describes it as "U2 spliceosomal RNA". It matches the Rfam family "U2 spliceosomal RNA". From Rfam's summary of the family: U2 is a small nuclear RNA (snRNA) component of the spliceosome (involved in pre-mRNA splicing). Lineage: Eukaryota; Metazoa; Chordata; Mammalia; Eulipotyphla; Erinaceidae. The record is from Rfam by way of RNAcentral.
AUCACUUCUUGGCCUUUUGGCUAAGAUCAAGUGUAAUAUCUGUUCUUAUCAGUUUAAAAAAAUGUCAUUCCUUGAUGACAAUAAUUACAACUUAAUUCUCUGCCCCAACUAUGGGUAAAUCUCA